GUGCUUGCUUUGGCAACACAUAUACUUAAAUUGGAGUGAUACAGAGAAGGUUUGCAUGGCCCUUAUGCAAAGACAACAUGUAAAUUUGUAAAGCUUUCCAUGUUAAA
Gracilinanus agilis (Agile Gracile Mouse Opossum) is the source of this 107-nucleotide small nuclear RNA. The record is from RefSeq and is a predicted model, not a curated record. NCBI's taxonomy places the organism in Eukaryota, Metazoa, Chordata, Mammalia, Didelphimorphia, Didelphidae.